Molecule: non-coding RNA, 286 nt
Organism: Pelobates cultripes (western spadefoot toad)
Lineage: Eukaryota; Metazoa; Chordata; Amphibia; Anura; Pelobatidae
Source: the annotation of a GenBank genome assembly
UCCUCCUUUACUGUGUUGAUUGCCUUUAUAUAUUUAAAUGUUUCUAUCAUAUCCCCGCUGUCUCGUCUUUCCUCCAAGCUAUACAUGUUAAGAUCCUUUAACCUUUCCUGGUAAGUUUUAUCCCGCAAUCCAUGAACCAGUUUAGUAGCCCUUCUCUGAACCCUCUCUAAGGCAUCAAUAUCCUUCUGAAGAUACGGUCUCCAGUACUGUGUACAAUACUCCAAGUGAGGUCUCACCAGUGUUCUGUACAAUGGCAUGAGCACUUCCCUCUUUCUACUGCUAAUAC